Molecule: ribosomal RNA, 480 nt
Filed under: uncultured bacterium
Lineage: Bacteria
Description: bacterial SSU rRNA
Rfam family: Bacterial small subunit ribosomal RNA
Source: RNAcentral
GCUAGCGGCAGGCUUAAUACAUGCAAGUCGUGGGGCAGCAUGAGUAGCAAUACUUGAUGGCGACCGGCAAACGGGUGAGGAACACGUACACAACCUUCCUUCAAGCGGGGAACUAGCCCAGAGAAAUUUGGAUUAAUACCCCAUAAUAUAUUUGAUAAGGCAUCUUAUUAAUAUUAAAGCUUCGGCACUUGAUGAUGGGUGUGCGGCUGAUUAGAUAGUUGGCGGGGUAACGGCCCACCAAGUCUACGAUCAGUAGCUGAUGUGAGAGCAUGAUCAGCCACACGGGCACUGAGACACGGGCCCGACUCCUACGGGAGGCAGCAGUAAGGAAUAUUGGACAAUGGACGAAAGUCUGAUCCAGCCAUGCCCGCGUGAAGGAUUAAGGUCCUCUGGAUUGUAAACUUCUUUUAUAUGGGACGAAAAAAGGGCAUUCUUGUUCACUUGACGGUACCAUAUGAAUAAGCACCGGCUAACUCCGUG